GUACACGCUGUGACUAGCAUAUCAAUAAGCGGAGGAAAAGAAACUAACAAGGAUUCCCCUAGUAACGGCGAGUGAAGCGGGAAGAGCUCAAAUUUGAAAUCUUAAAGGGUUUCCCUUUACGAAUUGUAGUUUAAAGAAGUGUUUUCUGUUGAGGUUUUGGUAAAAGUUCUUUGGAAUAGGACAUCAUAGAGGGUGAGAAUCCCGUAUUUGACCUUUACUUUCAACUUUGUGAUACACUUUCAAAGAGUCGGAUUGUUUGGGAAUGCAGUCCAAAAUGGGUGGUAAAUUUCAUCUAAAGCUAAAUAUUGGCGAGAGACCGAUAGCGAACAAGUACCGUGAGGGAAAGAUGAAAAGAACUUUGAAAGAGAGAGUUAAACAGUACGUGAAAUUGUCAAAAGGGAAGCGUUUGACACCAGUGUUGUUUUUCUGAAAAUCAAUUAAAGAACUGUUUAUGCUAAGCUGUUUAGACUUUAUCAGCUAAUCUGUUUAGUUUUGAGCUUUUCUUUAAUGCACUUUUCAGUUAACAAGUCAACAUCAAUUUCUUUUGCUGUAAAAAAGCUUGAGGAAGGUGGCUUGAGAUUCGUCUUAAGUGUUUAUAGCCUCUUGCCUAUGCAGUCGGAGAGAUUGAGGUCUGCAGCGUAGAUCCUUCGGGGCUAAAUGCAUUUGUGCUAAGUUAUAGCAUUUUAUAGACAACUUGUUGACUAUGAUUUGUCUUGUAGCUUACUCGCUUAUGUUAUUUUACCUACGCUUAGGAUGUUGAAGAUGUAGCACAUCAU
This 776-nucleotide ribosomal RNA is filed under the name uncultured Neocallimastigales. RNAcentral's name for it is "partial large subunit ribosomal RNA". It matches the Rfam family "Eukaryotic large subunit ribosomal RNA", at positions 22 to 635 of the family's 3401-position model. Lineage: Eukaryota; Fungi; Neocallimastigomycota; Neocallimastigomycetes; Neocallimastigales. The record is from RNAcentral.